Molecule: ribosomal RNA, 253 nt
Filed under: uncultured bacterium
Lineage: Bacteria
Description: partial 16S ribosomal RNA
Rfam family: Bacterial small subunit ribosomal RNA
Source: RNAcentral
UACGUAGGGGGCAAGCGUUGUCCGGAAUCAUUGGGCGUAAAGAGCGUGUAGGCGGCCCGAUAAGUCCGCCGUGAAAGUCCAGGGCUCAACCCUGGAAUGCCGGUGGAAACUGUCGGGCUGGAGUCCGGAAGAGGCGAGUGGAAUUCCUGGUGUAGCGGUGAAAUGCGCAGAUAUCAGGAAGAACACCCGUGGCGAAGGCGGCUCUCUGGGACGGUACUGACGCUGAGACGCGAAAGCGUGGGGAGCGAACAGG